AGUGGCGAACGGGUGAGGAAUACAUGGACAACGUGCCCCGGACUCAGGGAUAGCGGCGGAACUUCGGUUCCUUUGCGAAAGUGCCGGUAAUACCUGAUGACCCCGCGGAAUCACAUGAUUCAGCGGGCAAAGCUCCGACGGUCCGGGAUCGGUUCAUGUCCUAUCAGCUUGUUGGUGGGGUAACGGCCUACCAAGGCAAUGACGGGUAUCGGGCGUGAGAGCGUGACCCGACACAUCGGAACUGAGAUACGGUCCGGACACCUACGGGUGGCUGCAGCAACGAAUAUUCCGCAAUGGACGAAAGUCUGACGGAGCGACGCCGCGUGCAGGAGGAAGUCCCUCGGGAUGUAAACUGCUGUCAGGGGUUAGGAAACAAAUGACCAGCCCCAGAGGAAGCACCGGCUAACUCCGUGCCAGCAGCCGCGGUAAUACGGAGGGUGCAAGCGUUGUUCGGAAUUAUUGGGCUUAAAGCGCGUGUAGGCGG
This 484-nucleotide ribosomal RNA is filed under the name uncultured bacterium. RNAcentral describes it as "bacterial SSU rRNA". It matches the Rfam family "Bacterial small subunit ribosomal RNA", at positions 94 to 578 of the family's 1533-position model. The record is from RNAcentral.